This 2867-nucleotide ribosomal RNA is filed under the name Klebsiella pneumoniae. Its description in RNAcentral is "bacterial LSU rRNA". It matches the Rfam family "Bacterial large subunit ribosomal RNA". The record is from RNAcentral. Lineage: Bacteria; Pseudomonadati; Pseudomonadota; Gammaproteobacteria; Enterobacterales; Enterobacteriaceae.
UUAAGCGACUAAGCGUACACGGUGGAUGCCCUGGCAGUCAGAGGCGAUGAAGGACGUGCUAAUCUGCGAAAAGCGUCGGUAAGGUGAUAUGAACCGUUAUAACCGGCGAUGUCCGAAUGGGGAAACCCAGUGCAAUUGUUGCACUAUCGUUAACUGAAUACAUAGGUUAACGAGGCGAACCGGGGAACUGAAACAUCUAAGUACCCCGAGGAAAAGAAAUCAACCGAGAUUCCCCAGUAGCGGCGAGCGAACGGGAGCAGCCCAGAGUCUGAAUCAGCUUGUGUGUUAGUGGAACGGUCUGGAAAGUCCGACGGUACAGGGUGAUAGUCCCGUACACCAAAAUGCACAGGUUGUGAACUCGAAGAGUAGGGCGGGACACGUGGUAUCCUGUCUGAAUAUGGGGGGACCAUCCUCCAAGGCUAAAUACUCCUGACUGACCGAUAGUGAACCAGUACCGUGAGGGAAAGGCGAAAAGAACCCCGGCGAGGGGAGUGAAAAAGAACCUGAAACCGUGUACACAAGCAGUGGGAGCACCUUCGGGUGUGACUGCGUACCUUUUGUAUAAUGGGUCAGCGACUUAUAUUCUGUAGCAAGGUUAACCGUAUAGGGAGCCGCAGGGAAACCGAGUCUUAACUGGGCGUUAAGUUGCAGGGUAUAGACCCGAAACCCGGUGAUCAGCCAUGGGCAGGUUGAAGGUUGGGUAACACUAACUGGAGGACCGAACCGACUAAUGUUGAAAAAUUAGCGGAUGACUUGUGGCUGGGGGUGAAAGGCCAAUCAAACCGGGAGAUAGCUGGUUCUCCCCGAAAGCUAUUUAGGUAGCGCCUCGUGAACUCAUCUUCGGGGUAGAGCACUGUUUCGGCUAGGUCAUCCCGACUUACCAACCCGAUGCAAACUACGAAUACCGAAGAAUGUUAUCACGGGAGACACACGGCGGGUGCUAACGUCCGUCGAAGAGGGAAACAACCCAGACCGCCAGCUAAGGUCCCAAAGUCAUGGUUAAGUGGGAAACGAUGUGGGAAGGCACAGACAGCCAGGAUGUUGGCUUAGAAGCAGCCAUCAUUUAAAGAAAGCGUAAUAGCUCACUGGUCGAGUCGGCCUGCGCGGAAGAUGUAACGGGGCUAAACCAUGCACCGAAGCUGCGGCAGCGACACUAUGUGUUGUUGGGUAGGGAGCGUUCUGUAAGCCUGCGAAGGUGUGCUGUGAGGCAUGCUGGAGGUAUCAGAAGUGCGAAUGCUGACAUAAGUAACGAUAAAGCGGGUGAAAAGCCCGCUCGCCGGAAGACCAAGGGUUCCUGUCCAACGUUAAUCGGGGCAGGGUGAGUCGACCCCUAAGGCGAGGCCGAAAGGCGUAGUCGAUGGGAAACAGGUUAAUAUUCCUGUACUUGGUGUUACUGCGAAGGGGGGACGGAGAAGGCUAUGUUAGCCGGGCGACGGUUGUCCCGGUUUAAGCAUGUAGGCUGAUUGUCCAGGCAAAUCCGGAUAAUCAAGGCUGAGGUGUGAUGACGAGGCACUACGGUGCUGAAGUAACAAAUGCCCUGCUUCCAGGAAAAGCCUCUAAGCAUCAGGUAACAUCAAUCGUACCCCAAACCGACACAGGUGGUCAGGUAGAGAAUACCAAGGCGCUUGAGAGAACUCGGGUGAAGGAACUAGGCAAAAUGGUGCCGUAACUUCGGGAGAAGGCACGCUGGUGUAGGUGAAGUCCCUGCGGAUGGAGCUGAGACCAGUCGAAGAUACCAGCUGGCUGCAACUGUUUAUUAAAAACACAGCACUGUGCAAACACGAAAGUGGACGUAUACGGUGUGACGCCUGCCCGGUGCCGGAAGGUUAAUUGAUGGGGUUAUCCGUAAGGAGAAGCUCUUGAUCGAAGCCCCGGUAAACGGCGGCCGUAACUAUAACGGUCCUAAGGUAGCGAAAUUCCUUGUCGGGUAAGUUCCGACCUGCACGAAUGGCGUAAUGAUGGCGCUGCUCCACCCGAGACUCAGUGAAAUUGAACUCGCUGUGAAGAUGCAGUGUACCCGCGGCAAGACGGAAAGACCCCGUGAACCUUUACUAUAGCUUGACACUGAACAUUGAGCCUUGAUGUGUAGGAUAGGUGGGAGGCUUUGAAGCGUGGACGCCAGUCUGCGGAGCCAACCUUGAAAUACCACCCUUUAAUGUUUGAUGUUCUAACGUUGGCCCCUGACCGUUGCGGACAGUGUCUGGUGGGUAGUUUGACUGGGGCGGUCUCCUCCCAAAGCGUAACGGAGGAGCACGAAGGUUAGCUAAUCCUGGUCGGACAUCAGGAGGUUAGUGCAAUGGCAUAAGCUAGCUUGACUGCGAGCGUGACGGCGCGAGCAGGUGCGAAAGCAGGUCAUAGUGAUCCGGUGGUUCUGAAUGGAAGGGCCAUCGCUCAACGGAUAAAAGGUACUGGGGAUAACAGGCUGAUACCGCCCAAGAGUUCAUAUCGACGGCGGUGUUUGGCACCUCGAUGUCGGCUCAUCACAUCCUGGGCUGAAGUAGGUCCCAAGGGUAUGGCUGUUCGCCAUUUAAAGUGGUACGCGAGCUGGGUUUAGAACGUCGUGAGACAGUUCGGUCCCUAUUCGCCGUGGGCGCUGGAGAAUUGAGGGGCUGCUCCUAGUACGAGAGGACCGGAGUGGACGCAUCACUGGUGUUCGGGUUGUCAUGCCAAUGGCACUGCCCGGUAGCUAAAUGCGGAAGAGAUAAGUGCUGAAAGCAUCUAAGCACGAAACUUGCCCCGAGAUGAGUUCUCCCUGAGACUUUAAGUCUCCUGAAGGAACGUUGAAGACGACGACGUUGAUAGGCCGGGUGUGUAAGCGCAGCGAUGCGUUGAGCUAACCGGUACUAAUGAACCGUGAGGCUUAACCU